AUAACGACUCUCGGCAACGGAUAUCUCGGCUCUCGCAUCGAUGAAGAACGUAGCGAAAUGCGAUACUUGGUGUGAAUUGCAGAAUCCCGUGAACCAUCGAGUCUUUGAACGCAAGUUGCGCCCCAAGCCUUCGGGCCGAGGGCACGUCUGCCUGGGUGUCACAA
This 164-nucleotide ribosomal RNA is filed under the name Draba aizoides. Its description in RNAcentral is "5.8S ribosomal RNA". It matches the Rfam family "5.8S ribosomal RNA". From Rfam's summary of the family: 5.8S ribosomal RNA (5.8S rRNA) is a component of the large subunit of the eukaryotic ribosome. It is transcribed by RNA polymerase I as part of the 45S precursor that also contains 18S and 28S rRNA. Functionally, it is thought that 5.8S rRNA may be involved in ribosome translocation. The record is from RNAcentral. RNAcentral also lists the same sequence under 1 other name. Lineage: Eukaryota; Viridiplantae; Streptophyta; Magnoliopsida; Brassicales; Brassicaceae.